AAGUUUACAGUUGACACGCCUUGUAAUGCUAACCUUCCCCUUUGCCUCCGAUGAUCUGGGAGUGAGACGGGAGACAAGGCUUGGUAUUGAGAUCAGCAGGCGCCAAGAGAUCUAGUAAGUGACAGCAGAUAUGGCUGAUCCUCCAAAAGGUUCGAUGUUUCGCAUACUUGUUCUAAGAUUACGGAUGUUGGACGAUAUACUGGGGAGUUAUAGAUGAGGGGAAGCUGCAGUUUGGUAAGUCCAAUCUUGUGUCAUGAAUCUGGGGUCUAACAUCCAUCUUUUGCCUGUAGUUUAUGGUUAUUUGUGUCCUUCCCUUUCAUCAGUGCUGCAUCCGAAGCAUUGCUCUUACAUAUGAGAGCUUCAACCACUUGGCAGCAUCAUUGCACAGACUAUUUCGGAACUCAUAUUCUCAGUAUAGCAGGGUUUGAUUCUUUUGCGAGCUACUGUAGGUGUAAAUACUCGUCUCGGGUUUGCCUAUUUGAAUAUGGGUUUAGAGAUCAUGCUGAUUGAUAUUAGGAAAUAUCUUGUUUGAAUUUUCUGUGUGGUGAUGUACUGCUUCAUAUGCUAAAUAGGAGACACUUCUUUAGAUGUUAAUCUUUGGAAGGAAAUACAGCGAUUGGUAUGAUUUGACGGUACUACUUGGCCAACGGUUUGUGCCUUUUGAACCUUGUUCCUGAAAACAUGAUUUACAUAUUCUUCACUGAUUGAUAGAAUUUAAAUGCUCAAAUAGCUUUAUUCUGUCCACUUUAGCAACUUACUCCGAUAUUGAUCUAGACUAUAGAAUAAAUAAACUUUUUUCCUGCAAAGUGCAAGUGGUGAAGGUGGGAUUUGAUCCCAGAAACUUGUAGUGAUUCGGCCAAAGGGUUUACUGGAUGAACUAGCCAGCACCUUUAACAAAUAAUUUAUUAAAUGAGGUUAGAGAAUCCAUCAAACGAAUGUUUUAGGUGGAUCCGGAAUAAAUAAACUUUUAUUAUGAAGGUUCAGUUUUGAACCUUUUCAUCUAUUUGGGUUGCACCUUACUCUGUAUAAUAUUUCCAGUCAGUUGCAUGAUGACUGCACUCUUAUCUUUCUCUUACAACAGUUUAUAAAAUUGGGCAUGCUUUCUUCUACACGUAUGUUAUUCUAUAAUCCUAACUUUAUUUAAUAUUAACUUUUGCGAGAUCUAGACACUAUAAAAGAUCUGGUGAAGAUGUUGAUUUAGUUAUCGCUUGCUUCAACAAACUUCUUGUUCCUGGUGGAUGCUUUCAGAUAAGUCUUCGGUGGAAGGUUCAAAGAUUGACUUUCUGAGGUCUACUUGGAACUUGCACUACCUAGGUACUGGAUGAAAGAGCUCUUUGAUGAAUUCUUCUGUCAGAUGUAAUAGCAUUGAGAUGCUGAAGGCUUCAAAUCUGGCCCAUCAGCUGCUGGUAUGCUAUAAUGAUAUGAAGAGCAUUUAAUUGUUUUUUCCUAAUAGCAGCAAAUGGAGCUUGGAUUGU
RNAcentral lists this long non-coding RNA (1475 nucleotides) under Musa acuminata (dwarf banana). RNAcentral's name for it is "long non-coding RNA (MACU_LNC005564)". The record is from RNAcentral. Lineage: Eukaryota; Viridiplantae; Streptophyta; Magnoliopsida; Zingiberales; Musaceae.